RNAcentral lists this ribosomal RNA (762 nucleotides) under uncultured Streptococcus sp. Its description in RNAcentral is "bacterial SSU rRNA". It matches the Rfam family "Bacterial small subunit ribosomal RNA", at positions 28 to 776 of the family's 1533-position model. The record is from RNAcentral. Lineage: Bacteria; Bacillati; Bacillota; Bacilli; Lactobacillales; Streptococcaceae.
GACGNACGCUGGNGGCGUGNNAAUACAUGCAAGUAGNANGCUGAAGAGAGGAGCNUGCUCUUCUUGGAUGAGUUGCGAACGGGUGAGUAACGNGUAGGUAACCUGCCUGUAGCGGGGGAUAACUAUUGGAAACGAUAGCUAAUACCGCAUANCAAUGGAUGACACAUGUCAUUUAUNGAAAGGGGCAAUUGCUCCACUACAAGAUGGACNUGCGUUGUAUUAGNUAGUAGGUGAGNUAACGGCUCACCUAGGCGACGNUACAUAGCCGACCUGAGAGGGUGAUCGGCCACACUGGGANUGAGACACGGCCCAGACUCCUACGGGAGGCAGCAGUAGGGAAUCUUCGGCAAUGGGGGCAACCCUGACCGAGCAACGCCGCGUGAGUGAAGAAGGUUUUCGGAUCGUAAAGCUCUGUUGUAAGUCAAGAACGAGUGUGAGAGUGGAAAGUUCACACUGUGACGGUAGCUUACCAGAAAGGGACGGCUAACUACGUGCCAGCAGCCGCGGUAAUACGUAGGUCCCGAGCGUUGUCCGGAUUUAUUGGGCGUAAAGCGAGCGCAGGCGGUUUGAUAAGUCUGAAGUUAAAGGCUGUGGCUCAACCAUAGUUCGCUUUGGAAACUGUCAAACUUGAGUGCAGAAGGGGAGAGUGGAAUUCCAUGUGUAGCGGUGAAAUGCGUAGAUAUAUGGAGGAACACCGGUGGCGAAAGCGGCUCUCUGGUCUGUAACUGACGCUGAGGCUCGAAAGCGUGGGGAGCGAACAGG